GGGCCGGUAGCUCAGCCUGGUAGAGCACGCGGCUUUUAACCGUGUGGUCGCGGGUUCAAAUCCCGUCCGGCCCA
Molecule: transfer RNA, 74 nt
Filed under: uncultured marine group II/III euryarchaeote KM3_83_G03
Lineage: Archaea; Methanobacteriati; Methanobacteriota
Description: tRNA-Lys
Rfam family: tRNA
About the family: Transfer RNA (tRNA) molecules are approximately 80 nucleotides in length. Their secondary structure includes four short double-helical elements and three loops (D, anti-codon, and T loops). Further hydrogen bonds mediate the characteristic L-shaped molecular structure. tRNAs have two regions of fundamental functional importance: the anti-codon, which is responsible for specific mRNA codon recognition, and the 3' end, to which the tRNAs corresponding amino acid is attached (by aminoacyl-tRNA synthetases). tRNAs cope with the degeneracy of the genetic code in two manners: having more than one tRNA (with a specific anti-codon) for a particular amino acid; and 'wobble' base-pairing, i.e. permitting non-standard base-pairing at the 3rd anti-codon position.
Source: RNAcentral